AUGAAACCACUGGGAUUUUUAUAGUAAAUUCUUUACACACAGAAGAAAGUGCAACACGGGAUGCAGCAGUGCAAUCAUUUCCUAUACUGCUCUUCCCAUGAGCCUCAACCCUGGCAUGGAUGGAGCAUUUCUAAGGAUGAGAUGAUUACAGUCUCCAUGCUAACCCAACUCUUGGCUUUU
This is an unclassified non-coding RNA of Chelonoidis abingdonii (Abingdon island giant tortoise), 180 nucleotides long. NCBI's taxonomy places the organism in Eukaryota, Metazoa, Chordata, Testudines, Testudinidae. The record is from Ensembl.